Molecule: ribosomal RNA, 438 nt
Filed under: uncultured bacterium
Lineage: Bacteria
Description: bacterial SSU rRNA
Rfam family: Bacterial small subunit ribosomal RNA
Source: RNAcentral
AGAGUUUGAUCCUGGCUCAGGACGAACGCUGGCGGCGUGCUUAACACAUGCAAGUCGAACGGAAAGGUCUCUUCGGAGAUACUCGAGUGGCGAACGGGUGAGUAACACGUGGGUGAUCUGCCCUGCACUUUGGGAUAAGCCUGGGAAACUGGGUCUAGUACCGGAUAGGACCGCGCCAUGCAUGUGGUGUGGUGGAAAGCUAUUUGCGGUGUGGGAUGGGCCCGCGGCCUAUCAGCUUGUUGGUGGGGUGAUGGCCUACCAAGGCGACGACGGGUAGCCGGCCUGAGAGGGUGUCCGGCCACACUGGGACUGAGAUACGGCCCAGACUCCUACGGGAGGCAGCAGUGGGGAAUAUUGCACAAUGGGCGCAAGCCUGAUGCAGCGACGCCGCGUGGGGGAUGACGGCCUUCGGGUUGUAAACCUCUUUCACCAUCGGCG